RNAcentral lists this ribosomal RNA (346 nucleotides) under uncultured bacterium. RNAcentral's name for it is "partial 16S ribosomal RNA". It matches the Rfam family "Bacterial small subunit ribosomal RNA", at positions 338 to 681 of the family's 1533-position model. The record is from RNAcentral.
CCUACGGGGGGCAGCAGUGAGGAAUAGUGGUCAAUGGCCGUAAGGCUGAACCAGCCAAGUCGCGUGAAGGAAGAAGGAGCUAUGGUUUGUAAACUUCUGUUAUAGGGGAAUAAAGGUAUCCACGUGUGGAUAUUUGCAUGUACCCUAUGAAUAAGCAUCGGCUAACUCCGUGCCAGCAGCCGCGGUAAUACGGAGGAGGCGAGCGUUCUCCGGAUUUAUUGGGUUUAAAGGGUGCGUAGGUUGUUUUUUAAGUCAGCGGUGAAAGUUUGUGGCUCAACCAUAAAAUGGCCGUUGAAACUGGCAGCCUUGAGUGUGUUUGAGGUAGGCGGACUGCGUGGUGUAGCGG